Molecule: long non-coding RNA, 1200 nt
Organism: Neocloeon triangulifer
Lineage: Eukaryota; Metazoa; Arthropoda; Insecta; Ephemeroptera; Baetidae
Exons: 3
Source: RefSeq, a predicted model, not a curated record
GACCAGCCCCUCUCUAUUUUGGCGCCUGCUCCUGCUGAUGCUCGAUGGUUGGUCCAUCGUGGUCAUACGGCCAUCGAACGCCCUAUGGCUGCCGUUUCUUGUUGGUUGCCAUGGCGUGGUACCUCCAGCUCCUCCUGCAUUUGCGUAGGUAGCGGAAGUUGACCAUGUGAGUGCCACUUAAUUGAGUAUUUGCCGGCAGCCCGGAUUGACUCGCGUGCAGUUGCGUACGCUUUGAGCUGUGAAUUGAAAAAUUCAACUAUGGAAGCAAUGGGACCUACAGGUGAAGACAACAUACAGGACAAUGUUCAUGACGACGUACAGGACAAUGUUCAUGACAACAUACAGGACGAUGUUCAAGAUGGCCUAAUUAGUGAUGCAUUUGAUGUUGCUAAUGGCCAGGCAAAUAGGAAAAAAGUUGUUAAAGCCCACAUUGGAGCUAAGCCGCCCAAAGAAUGAGUUCUUGGCUCAAAAUCAUCAAAAGAGACAAGGCGAUAAUUCAAAUAAUUUGCCGGCCGAUAUUUUUUUUUAAAUUUUCGUUUGGGCAGCCACCGAUUCUUGCACGCCAACUAUUUUUACCGCAGUUAUUAAGAGCAAAAUCAAAAUUUAAAAUGCAGGAGAAGCAAUGGAGGUUUUGGCACUUUGAAGCAAUCACUGUAACACUAGGUCAAAUUUUUGUCAGCUGGCGCGAUAUAGACUUUCAAACUUCGCAGCCCAAAAUCGGCCAAACUCAUACAGACACCGGCUAAAACUGACGAGCUCGGGCUCAAUUUUCCCAAUUUUCAACGCUAUGGACUGAUAUGAAACCAACGAAAUUUUUGUUUUAAAUUAUGUUUAUAUGUGGCCGUAUUACUCAAAUGAGUUUGAAAUAUGUAAAAGCAUAAUUGUUUUUAUACAUAUGCAUAUAUAUUUAUAUUAUGGUCAUAUAUCAUAUUAUGAUUAUUUUAAUUUUAUAUAAUGUACAGUGCUAAUUGUAUUCUUUGCUUUAUAUAAAUUAACACUUUGUAUGUAUACAUUUAUGAAGUAUACUUCAUAAAUAAUGGUGAUGAGCAAUACAUAUAUUUACAUACAUAUAUGUACAUACAUAUAUUUGUAAUAUUUAAUAAAUCACAACUUACAUUUUAUGUACUUAUAAUGUUAUGUAAAAAUAAAAUUAUCAUAAUUGGUUGUUGCAAGAACAAGAAUACAUAGUAAUACUUUGUA